RNAcentral lists this unclassified non-coding RNA (336 nucleotides) under soil metagenome. Its description in RNAcentral is "partial contains 5.8S ribosomal RNA, internal transcribed spacer 2, and large subunit ribosomal RNA". The stretch from base 1 to 120 matches the Rfam family "5.8S ribosomal RNA", at positions 35 to 154 of the family's 154-position model. The record is from RNAcentral.
GAUGAAGAACGCAGCGAAAUGCGAUAAGUAAUGUGAAUUGCAGAAUUCAGUGAAUCAUCGAAUCUUUGAACGCACAUUGCGCCCGCCAGUAUUCUGGCGGGCAUGUCUGUUCGAGCGUCAUUUCAACCAUCAAGCCCCAGGCUUGUGUUGGGGACCUGCGGCUGCCGCAGGCCCUGAAAACCAGUGGCGGGCUCGCUGUCACACCGGGCGUAGUAGAUUUUAUCUCGCUCAGGGCGUGCUGCGGGUCCCGGCCGUUAAAAGCCUUUUUUUACCCAAGGUUGACCUCGGAUCAGGUAGGAAGACCCGCUGAACUUAAGCAUAUCAAUAAGCGGAGGA